Molecule: ribosomal RNA, 429 nt
Filed under: uncultured Lactobacillus sp.
Lineage: Bacteria; Bacillati; Bacillota; Bacilli; Lactobacillales; Lactobacillaceae
Description: bacterial SSU rRNA
Rfam family: Bacterial small subunit ribosomal RNA
Source: RNAcentral
UAGGGAAUCUUCCACAAUGGACGCAAGUCUGAUGGAGCAACGCCGCGUGAGUGAAGAAGGUUUUCGGAUCGUAAAGCUCUGUUGUUGGUGAAGAAGGAUAGAGGCAGUAACUGGUCUUUAUUUGACGGUAAUCAACCAGAAAGUCACGGCUAACUACGUGCCAGCAGCCGCGGUAAUACGUAGGUGGCAAGCGUUGUCCGGAUUUAUUGGGCGUAAAGCGAGCGCAGGCGGAAUGAUAAGUCUGAUGUGAAAGCCCACGGCUUAACCGUGGAACUGCAUCGGAAACUGUCAUUCUUGAGUGCAGAAGAGGAGAGUGGAAUUCCAUGUGUAGCGGUGGAAUGCGUAGAUAUAUGGAAGAACACCAGUGGCGAAGGCGGCUCUCUGGUCUGCAACUGACGCUGAGGCUCGAAAGCAUGGGUAGCGAACAGG